UUAAAAUUUAUAAUUUUAUUGAUAAUUAGUAUUGCAUAAAAUUUUCACCAACCAAAUCUUAUUUGAUAUUAUUAAUAUUAUUUAAAGAAUAUGUACUUAUGUAUUUAUUAUAUAUAUAGCAAGAUUUAUACUUAUUAUUUAUUUUUCUAGUUAAUAAAAGAACACAUAAAAUUAUAUUGAUUUCAUUGAUAUUUUUGUUUAAUAUUUUUUUUUUAAUUGUUCAAUUCCGCAAACUAUAUAUGUUCACCAAUCAACACAAUUCCGCACCGCUAAUUUUGUUAAAACCGCACUUGUCCCGCAAACCGCACGAACUGCACUUGGACCGUACCACACUUAAAUUUUGUCCCGCUAAUAUUACCAAUUUUGCAGUCACCAUUCGGACUCAUAUCUAUUUUUCACCAUUUAAAGUCAAAGCCAGGUCUGAGUGGACUAAAGACAUUUGAUUCCUACAAAUCACGCCCAAGUGACAAAUUACGUGGACUCCCACACGGCUAUACCCAUUCUCAACCACGGGGUUUCCCUUUGCCUAACAGUUUGGAAACUUAGAUGUCUUCUGGUAUAUGUUGAGAUGAUUCCGUGAUAUCAAUGUAACAUGAGAUAUUUACGCCCACAGACACAAUUCAUCUUAUGAAUUACACUUUAAGACACUUUGGUCUUAGUGGACACUUUCUCUUAGUGAAAUGUCUAGCUUAACCCUCACCUCUUAGUGAAAGUGGGUUUCAUGAAUUCUCUAACCAGAACAAUUGGUUUUUCUAACUAGUAAAAAUAAAACAAAUAAUAUAUUUUCAGAUAUUUUUUACUUGAAUUUUGAAAGAGUCUAUCUUUUUUUUUCUUUUUCAUUUUGUAGAUUUCAAGAGACAAACCCUAGUUUUAUCUCUCCCCCGAUUUCUUGUAGAUCUAGAAACUCAAACCUUCGCCAAACCGUAAUCAAGUUUCUAAAAAUCAGAUCCUCUCCGGCGAUAGUUGAUUUCGUCAUUAACCACAGCCAGCCACCGUUGAUUGAGAAAAACCCGCCAUGGAAGAUUCUGCAGAGGACGCCAUAGACCACCGUCUUCCCGUGAGACUCUUCGCAACUGAUUCAUAUAUGAAAAGUUAGUUUAUUGUCUGAUUGUGGUGGUGGAUGCCGCGAUGGUAGAUGUCGUGGUGGCGGAUGUAGAUACGGAGGUAGAAGACGUGAGGAGGAGGAGGUGGUUAUGGAUGUCGUGAUGGUGGAUGCUAUGGUGGUGGAUAUGGAUACAGCUGACGCCUAACCAUGACUUACCCGACCACAACUCACCCAACCACAACAACCCGUCUCAUGUCGCCACACAUGAUACACCUAAUAGACACCUUUUGUUUUGUUCGCAAUGUGCCUUUCAGCUUAUGUCUAUUCAUGUACUUUAAUUCCACGAACUGAGUAUGUGAGGAAGAAGAAUCACUUGGAAGCCACUCCCAUAUCAUUAGCUAAUAUGCUGUACAACACUACCUCCAUCCAGACUAAAGCCUACAAGAUCACACUAGCAUUGUCACCAGACUAAAGCCAACAUCGGCAUCCAUUCACAAACUGGCCACCAGAGCCUUGACGACAACACUCCCGACCACAACAACACUCCCCCUAACCACAAGAGUCCCAUCCACAACACAUCUGACCACCACAACAAUCACACAAACCACGAGAGUCCCAUCCACAAUACACCUGAGAACCCCAAUCCAACCAUCUUCUUUUUGUCCACCACGAACUCCACCCAUUACCAAACACAUCUCCAAAUAUUUAAACUAUAUUCUCAGCCUUAGAUCUUAUGCAUAUAAAUAGAUCUAACGUCCUUAAACAAUUCACUUUUUCCCAUACAGUUACCUUUUUCUUUUAACCUUUAUCAUUUAUUGUGUAACUAAAGACAAACUUAGUUUCUACUUCUUCACUUUACGGUAGCCUUCUUAAAAGAAACACACUCCUCCUUACACAAAAAGCAAGGUUAUUUA
Brassica napus (rape) is the source of this 1959-nucleotide long non-coding RNA. RefSeq lists it as uncharacterized. The record is from RefSeq and is a predicted model, not a curated record. The transcript is spliced from 2 exons. Lineage: Eukaryota; Viridiplantae; Streptophyta; Magnoliopsida; Brassicales; Brassicaceae.